Non-coding RNA from Oryctolagus cuniculus (rabbit), 5753 nucleotides. The record is from RefSeq and is a predicted model, not a curated record. NCBI's taxonomy places the organism in Eukaryota, Metazoa, Chordata, Mammalia, Lagomorpha, Leporidae.
CUGAGGAAAGACAGAGCUGAAAUUUGAACAUGAUCGUUUGAUGGCUAUGUCUAGAACUACUUUCACUAAACAAAGGAGACUGUAUGAUCACUUGACUAGAAUAUCUACAGCUAUAGAGAGGCCUAGAAAUGUUGGGAACCUAUAGUUAUAACUCCUGGUGUUUUACAAGUGUUAAAUAGGAAACGCCAAUUCAGAUUCCAGGUAGCAUUUAUACGCAGAUGGACAAUUCUACAGGAUGAAGGAAAUGAUUAUAUAAAGCAUGUUAGCGCACUGACUAAAUUGAAAAGCCUUUGAUAUGAGUCAUCCUUGAGCGCUGUGGAGGAAAGUAAGUGGGCAUUAUCUCAUUCUACAUAAAGGGAAGCAAACUCAUAAAUAUGGGAAGAAUAUUCUUUCUGCUCUCACACACUGAGACAGUGGACAAGAUGAGGUAAACCUUACAUUCCUUGCUUCCUAUGUCAUGUGGUAACCUCGUACUCCUAGAGCCCCAAACAGGCUGCUUUCCUGGGGAAGUAUUCAGGGCCUGCAGUGGGUGAGUGAACAAAAGCACUACACACUGAAGUGCCUGCCUCUCUAGUUUUGAUUUCAAGUCAGAGCUUGAACAUUCUUAGCCGAGAGUUCUGGGAUGAGAAAAAUGAGCAUCGGAGUAACGUCAGGUUCACCAGAAAGACUCAGCAUGGAUUCUUUUGUAUUUGAAGAAACCUGUACUGUGAUUUGAGCUGGUGUGUCCAUUUCUGGUUGAAUCUUUAAAGGAUUGCUUCACCUCAGGCCUGGUAUUUAACCCUUGCAUUUAGACUCCUGGCAAAUGAGAAAUGUUCAUUGGCUGGAUUAGACUAUGGUUCAUAAGGUGCCAGGUGAUCAGAGGGUGACAAAAUCAUAUACCCAUGACUCAAAGGAUCGAAGACACAAGGAGCAGGGGACACAGGGAAGAAAAAUAAAGGCAGAAAAUCCUGCUAGUGGAUCAAAGGCAUGCACAAGGGUUAGAAGGCCUGAACAUGCAGCUAUGUUUAAGGCUAACAGAAGCACACCACAUUGAAGUUAUUUAUUUGUUUAUUUUUAUGGCUGAGGAUGUCUUGAAGAGGACAUUUAAAUUAGGUUAGAAAACAUGACUUAAGUUGGUGGCUUGACAUUUCUGAGAUGCUACCUUUGGCCAGGUGAAUGUCCUAAAUGUGUUUAGUUUCCUGCUUUCACAGUACCGAGGGUGCCUUACACAUUGUAGAGUUCUUUAACACAUCUGUGAGGUAGGAAGAACAGUGGGAAAAAAUGCCUGACAUGGACUGAAUGGCUCACAGCAGGUGUGUAUGUCUCACAGAUGGGCCUGACUCUGGGUUUUCUGUUUCCCAGAGCAUCCCUGUGAAAGCUCAUGAGGCCAAUCUCAGUUUUUCUCAUUAGACAUCUGUUCCGGGGGAGAAAGGAGGAGAGCAAAGCACUGUGAGGGCUCAAGCAAGAGACUCCACAGUUUGUUGCAAAUGAGUCAUACACACAGUAUUGCUUAACAUAUACAGAAUAUAGGUCUGUAAUUAUGGAAACAUUUACACAGCUUCCACAAUAGAAAGUGUCAAUAAGCAGGUGUGUCUCAUAUUUACAAAAUAGACUCAUCGCAUUUCUAAAAUGUUCUUUUUCAAUAUAUUUCACGUUAGACUUGUGAUUUUUCUUUGGACAGCUAAUAGCUUUUUUGCCCUUUUCUGUGAUGAAUGAGUAGGUGCACAGAGUUGGCAAAUGCUAAUGACACAAUGCAAACUUUGAAGCAUAGGUAUGUUCACCAAAGUCCUAAAGCGGGAUGAUAAAGAACGUACGUGGUUUUCCUCAUUGUUCUGUGAGUACUGAAAGGCAAUCUUCUCAAGCACUAAUAAUUGAAGAACUUGGGUUGCAAGGAUGCUCAGGGCUCACUUGGCUUAUUUUUAAGCUUUAUUUAUUUAGUUGAAAGAGUGACAGAGAAGGAGGGACACAGAGAGGUCUUCCACCCACUGGUUUCCUGCUCAAAUGGCUACAAUGGUCAGGCAAGGGCCAGGCUGAAGCCAGGGACCUGGAAUGCCAUUUGGGUUUCCCAUAUGGUGGCAGGGGUCCAGGUACUUCCGUCAUCUUCCACUGCCUUCUUAAACCAUCAUCUGCCCUAUUUUUAUGGAAGAGAGCUGAGUACAAGAGAAUAAGUGAGAAAUUCUUCAGCUUCGCUUCUUGUUGGAAUCACCUAUGGAGAUUUAAAAACGAUGGCUGCCUAAGCCCUAUCUCCAGUCUGUGAUGUAGUUGGUUUGGUGAGUACUUAGGAACCUGGAGUUUGAAAACCCUCAUAGGUGAUUCUUCCAUGCAGUCCAUGAUUGGAAACCACUUUGUUAAGCAAGUUAUAUGAUACCACUUGUACUAAUUUACUUACAUGCUCUUAAUUAGAUUUGUCAGUAGGGACCAAAACUAUAAGAUCUUAAACUCUCUCUUCAGGACUCAAAACUUUUGUCUUGUAUUCCUUUGUUCUUCUGAUUUGCCUUCUCCUUCCUACUAUUCCAAUUUCAACUGUCAAAAUAAGUUACCAUAAAGAGUCAAUAGAGGCAUCAUUUGGAAGUGUAGCUGACUAAUCUGUAUUUGUGUGUUAACUAGAGACAAAAACCCUGCUAGAAAAAGCCUUCAUAACCUUGAAAUAAUAAACCAUAAGCCAUUACUUAAUUAGCCUGUGAGUAGACAAUCUGGUUUUUCUUUAUCAAGUAGACUAGCUGGCUCACCCAAGAGAUCUUCCAAGUCUUUAGUUCAAAACACUUGAAUAUGCAAGCUUAUUGUAUAGCUGGCAUCUGAGAACAGAAAGACUGUCACUUCAGUUGCAAAGACAACUAUUCUUUCUACUCAGUUGGGAUGUUUCCUCUCUAGUCCCAGUUCCUCUGUAAAUAUGAAAGACAGGAAAUCAGAAUUGUUUUCCUGAAACAAGAAUUAAGUAUAUUUGGCUGUGUUUGGACAAAAUGCGCCUCUUCAUGUGCUUUGAAAUCUGGGAAGCUGUGAAUUCUGUUAGCCCCGCAACUGUACCUUAAUAUGAGAACUCUGCUUUGUGCUUUAUACUGUUUGUCUUUAGAAACUUUAUAUAGUUCUUUCUAUAAGAUUGUAUUUAAGUAAUUAGACAAUUAUGAUUUCAUAUUUCUUUCAUAGAGCCUCACAGAAAGUAAGGCAUCUGAACAAUGAAUUCAUUGAUUAGAAUUCCUGCUGUUAUUAUAAGUUUUCUUCUCUAGGAUGAUAGCAUGUUGAUUUUUUUUCCUAUGGGAGGAUUAUAGGCAUUUGUGGAAAUUACCCGUUAGGAAUAUGUCUUUAUUUUAUUACAGUUAGUAAGGUGUAGAAAGAGAGAACAGAAAGAGUUAUGGAAGGUAAAAGAAAUACAUCACGAGGACUUAAUUCUGUAAUUUAGGACUUUUAUGCCUGACUUUAAAUUUUGGCCAUGAUUAACUAGGUUGUAUCAAAUUUUCUCUCACCAAAAUACAUAUGUGCCAAAUGAAGAACAAUUAAAUAAUCGUUUACAGGAAAUGAGCAGUCAACUGAGAUUCCUGUGACAAGUGACACACAGCAGCCACAUUCUGCCUUCAUCUUGUAUUUCUCUCCAAGGUGCUCUUUCUAAAUCAUUGCGUGGGAGAAUAGAACCCAAGCAGAAAUCAGCAGUCUUGCAGUCAGAGGAAACAGUUGCUGAUGUUCAAAGUUACUGUGGUGACUGGAAUUUGAGAAGGUAAAUAUUAGCUAGGAGAGAGCUGUAGAGAAAGAAUCCCAAAAAACCAACAUAAAAAUUCACUUUGAGUCUUUGGCUGACUCAUAAAGUUCUGCAAUCACAGAAUGAGAUUUUUGGGAGACAGCAGAGAAAAGAUGCAGAUUUCUGAAGUCGUUCAGUCCUAGGAAGACACUGACUCCAGCUGGUGAAUUCCAUUUUACUGCAAAUGACAGGAUUUCAUUUUUUUUAAACCACUGAGUAGUAUUCCAUGGUGUAUAAAUACCGUAAUUUCUUUAUCUAGUCAUCAGUUCAUGGACAUCUGGGUUGAUUCCACAUCAUAGCUAUUGUGAAUUGAGCUGAAAUGAAUAUGGGGGUACAGAUAACUCUUUCAUUUGAUUUCAUUUUGUUUGGGUAAAUUCCCAGGAGUGGAAUUGCUGGAUCAUAUGGUAGAUCUAUUUUCAGAUUUCUGAGAUGUCUCCAUACUGUCUUCCACAAUGGCUGUACCAGUUUACAUUCCCCACAAUAGUGGAUUAGGCUAUCUUUCCCUCCACAUCCUUGCAAGUAUUUAUUGCUGGUUGAUUUCUGUAUAAGACCUAUUCUAAAUGGGUUGAGGUGAAACCUCAUUGUGGUUUUGAUUUGCAUUUCCUGAUGGCUGGUGAUCCUGAUCAUUUUUCAUGUGUCUGUUGGCCAUUUGGAUUUCCUCUUUUGAGAAAUGUCUGUUUAAGUGUUUUGCCCAUUUCUCGACUAGGUUGUUUGUUUUGUUGUUGUUGAGUUUUUUGAUCACUUUAUAUAUUCUGGUUAUUAAUCCUUUAUUCUGGUUAUUUGCAUGGUUUGCAAAUAAUUUCUCCCAAUUUGUUGGUUGCCUCUUCACUUUCCUGUUUCUUUUGCAGUACAGAAGCUUCUCAAUUUGAUGUAAUCCCAUUUAUUAAUUUUGGCUUUUAUUGCCUGUGCCUUUGGGGUCUUUUCCAGGAACUCUGCCUGUGUCUGGCUUUGUUUUUGUUAUUUAAGUUUGCUUUGGCUAGUCUGGGUCUCCUAUGUAUCCAUAUGAAUUUCAGCAUCAUUUUUCUAUAUCUGAGAAGAAUGUCCUUGGUAUUUUGAUUGGAAUUGCAUGGAAUCUGAAUUUUGUAUUUGAUAGGGUGGACAUUUUUGAUGAUAUUGACUCUUCCAAUGAAUGAACAUGGAAGAUUUUUUCCAUUUUUUGUGUCUUUCUCUAUUUCUUUCUUUAACGUUUUUUAGUUUUUAUAGUAGAGAUCUUUGCAUCCUUGGUUAAAUGUAUUCUAAGGUAUUUAAAUUUUGAAGCCAUUGUGAGUGGGAUUGUUCUUAGAAGUUCUUUCUCAAUGCACAGCACAUUAAGCUGUGCAUUGAGAUUUAAUGCUAUAACGAGUACUCAAACAAUAUAUUUCACUUUGUGUUUCUAUGGGGGUGCAAACUGUUGAAAUCUUUACUUAAUGCAUACUAAACUGAUCCUCUGUAAAAAAAAAAAAAAAAAGAAAUUAUCAACUCCCAACUUGACUCUCACUGGGAUUAAACAUGACAAUAGGUCUGAUCUGAUUUCAUCAUCAUUAAAAAAAAAUCAUCUAUUAUUUUUCACUUUAUGUUUCUGUGUGGGAGCAAACUGUUGAAAUCCUUACUUAAUGUAUACUAAGCUGAUCUUCUGUAUAUUAAGAUAAUCAAAAAUGAAUCUUGAUGUGAAUGGAAGGGGAGAGGGAGUGGGAAAGGGGAGGGUUGUGGGUGGGAGGGACGGUAUGGGGGGGAAGCCAUUGUAAUCCAUAAAUCGUACUUUGGAAAUUUAUAUUCAUUAAAUAAAAGUUAAAAAAAAAAGUUCUUUCUCAACAAUGGCCUUAUCUGUGUAUACAAAAGCUAUUUUUUUGUGUGUUAAUUUUAUAUCCUGCCACUUUACCAAAUUAUUUUAUGAACUCCAAUAGUAUCUCAGUGGAGUCUUUUGCAUAUCCUAUAUAUAGAAUCAUGCCAUCUACAAACACUGAUAGUUUGACUUCCUCCUUCCCAAUUUGUAUUCCUUUGAUUUUUUUUCUUGCCUAAUGGUUCUGGCUAAAAAAAAUCCAGGGCUAUAUUGAAUAGCAAUGGU